This 253-nucleotide ribosomal RNA is filed under the name uncultured bacterium. RNAcentral's name for it is "partial 16S ribosomal RNA". It matches the Rfam family "Bacterial small subunit ribosomal RNA", at positions 524 to 776 of the family's 1533-position model. The record is from RNAcentral.
UACAGAGGUCUCAAGCGUUGUUCGGAUUCAUUGGGCGUAAAGGGUGCGUAGGCGGCGCGGUAAGUCGGGUGUGAAAUCUCGGAGCUUAACUCCGAAACCGCAUUCGAUACUGCCGUGCUUGAGGACUGGAGAGGAGACUGGAAUUUACGGUGUAGCGGUGAAAUGCGUAGAUAUCGUAAGGAAGACCAGUGGCGAAGGCGGGUCUCUGGGCAAUUCCUGACGCUGAGGCGCGAAAGCGUGGGGAGCAAACGGG